This 2782-nucleotide ribosomal RNA is filed under the name Bacillus cereus. RNAcentral's name for it is "23S ribosomal RNA". It matches the Rfam family "Bacterial large subunit ribosomal RNA". Lineage: Bacteria; Bacillati; Bacillota; Bacilli; Caryophanales; Bacillaceae. The record is from RNAcentral.
GGUUAAGUUAGAAAGGGCGCACGGUGGAUGCCUUGACACUAGGAGUCGAUGAAGGACGGGACUAACGCCGAUAUGCUUCGGGGAGCUGUAAGUAAGCUUUGAUCCGAAGAUUUCCGAAUGGGGAAACCCACCAUACGUAAUGGUAUGGUAUCCUUAUCUGAAUACAUAGGGUAAGGAAGACAGACCCAGGGAACUGAAACAUCUAAGUACCUGGAGGAAGAGAAAGCAAAUGCGAUUUCCUGAGUAGCGGCGAGCGAAACGGAACAUAGCCCAAACCAAGAGGCUUGCCUCUUGGGGUUGUAGGACAUUCUAUACGGAGUUACAAAGGAACGAGGUAGACGAAGCGACCUGGAAAGGUCCGUCGUAGAGGGUAACAACCCCGUAGUCGAAACUUCGUUCUCUCUUGAAUGUAUCCUGAGUACGGCGGAACACGUGAAAUUCCGUCGGAAUCUGGGAGGACCAUCUCCCAAGGCUAAAUACUCCCUAGUGAUCGAUAGUGAACCAGUACCGUGAGGGAAAGGUGAAAAGCACCCCGGAAGGGGAGUGAAAGAGAUCCUGAAACCGUGUGCCUACAAAUAGUCAGAGCCCGUUAACGGGUGAUGGCGUGCCUUUUGUAGAAUGAACCGGCGAGUUACGAUCCCGUGCGAGGUUAAGCUGAAGAGGCGGAGCCGCAGCGAAAGCGAGUCUGAAUAGGGCGUUUAGUACGUGGUCGUAGACCCGAAACCAGGUGAUCUACCCAUGUCCAGGGUGAAGUUCAGGUAACACUGAAUGGAGGCCCGAACCCACGCACGUUGAAAAGUGCGGGGAUGAGGUGUGGGUAGCGGAGAAAUUCCAAUCGAACCUGGAGAUAGCUGGUUCUCCCCGAAAUAGCUUUAGGGCUAGCCUUAAGUGUAAGAGUCUUGGAGGUAGAGCACUGAUUGGACUAGGGGUCCUCAUCGGAUUACCGAAUUCAGUCAAACUCCGAAUGCCAAUGACUUAUCCUUAGGAGUCAGACUGCGAGUGAUAAGAUCCGUAGUCAAAAGGGAAACAGCCCAGACCGCCAGCUAAGGUCCCAAAGUGUGUAUUAAGUGGAAAAGGAUGUGGAGUUGCUUAGACAACUAGGAUGUUGGCUUAGAAGCAGCCACCAUUUAAAGAGUGCGUAAUAGCUCACUAGUCGAGUGACUCUGCGCCGAAAAUGUACCGGGGCUAAAUACACCACCGAAGCUGCGGAUUGAUACUAAUGGUAUCAGUGGUAGGGGAGCGUUCUAAGGACAGUGAAGUCAGACCGUAAGGACUGGUGGAGUGCUUAGAAGUGAGAAUGCCGGUAUGAGUAGCGAAAGACGGGUGAGAAUCCCGUCCACCGAAUGCCUAAGGUUUCCUGAGGAAGGCUCGUCCGCUCAGGGUUAGUCAGGACCUAAGCCGAGGCCGACAGGCGUAGGCGAUGGACAACAGGUUGAUAUUCCUGUACCACCUCUUUAUCGUUUGAGCAAUGGAGGGACGCAGAAGGAUAGAAGAAGCGUGCGAUUGGUUGUGCACGUCCAAGCAGUUAGGCUGAUAAGUAGGCAAAUCCGCUUAUCAUAAAGGCUGAGCUGUGAUGGGGAAGCUCCUUAUGGAGCGAAGUCUUUGAUUCCCCGCUGCCAAGAAAAGCUUCUAGCGAGAUAAAAGGUGCCUGUACCGCAAACCGACACAGGUAGGCGAGGAGAGAAUCCUAAGGUGUGCGAGAGAACUCUGGUUAAGGAACUCGGCAAAAUGACCCCGUAACUUCGGGAGAAGGGGUGCUUUCUUAACGGAAAGCCGCAGUGAAUAGGCCCAAGCGACUGUUUAGCAAAAACACAGCUCUCUGCGAAGCCGUAAGGCGAAGUAUAGGGGGUGACACCUGCCCGGUGCUGGAAGGUUAAGGAGAGGGGUUAGCGUAAGCGAAGCUCUGAACUGAAGCCCCAGUAAACGGCGGCCGUAACUAUAACGGUCCUAAGGUAGCGAAAUUCCUUGUCGGGUAAGUUCCGACCCGCACGAAAGGUGUAACGAUUUGGGCACUGUCUCAACCAGAGACUCGGUGAAAUUAUAGUACCUGUGAAGAUGCAGGUUACCCGCGACAGGACGGAAAGACCCCGUGGAGCUUUACUGUAGCCUGAUAUUGAAUUUUGGUACAGUUUGUACAGGAUAGGCGGGAGCCAUUGAAACCGGAGCGCUAGCUUCGGUGGAGGCGCUGGUGGGAUACCGCCCUGACUGUAUUGAAAUUCUAACCUACGGGUCUUAUCGACCCGGGAGACAGUGUCAGGUGGGCAGUUUGACUGGGGCGGUCGCCUCCUAAAGUGUAACGGAGGCGCCCAAAGGUUCCCUCAGAAUGGUUGGAAAUCAUUCGUAGAGUGCAAAGGCAUAAGGGAGCUUGACUGCGAGACCUACAAGUCGAGCAGGGACGAAAGUCGGGCUUAGUGAUCCGGUGGUUCCGCAUGGAAGGGCCAUCGCUCAACGGAUAAAAGCUACCCCGGGGAUAACAGGCUUAUCUCCCCCAAGAGUCCACAUCGACGGGGAGGUUUGGCACCUCGAUGUCGGCUCAUCGCAUCCUGGGGCUGUAGUCGGUCCCAAGGGUUGGGCUGUUCGCCCAUUAAAGCGGUACGCGAGCUGGGUUCAGAACGUCGUGAGACAGUUCGGUCCCUAUCCGUCGUGGGCGUAGGAAAUUUGAGAGGAGCUGUCCUUAGUACGAGAGGACCGGGAUGGACGCACCGCUGGUGUACCAGUUGUUCUGCCAAGGGCAUAGCUGGGUAGCUAUGUGCGGAAGGGAUAAGUGCUGAAAGCAUCUAAG